This 371-nucleotide transfer-messenger RNA is filed under the name Bacteroidales. Its description in RNAcentral is "JACABE01 sp013377005 Standard tmRNA". It matches the Rfam family "transfer-messenger RNA". From Rfam's summary of the family: Bacterial tmRNA, also known as 10Sa RNA or SsrA, is named for its dual tRNA and mRNA-like properties. Its role is to liberate the mRNA from a stalled ribosome. To accomplish this part of the tmRNA is used as a reading frame that ends in a translation stop signal. Lineage: Bacteria; Pseudomonadati; Bacteroidota; Bacteroidia. RNAcentral also lists the same sequence under 1 other name. The record is from RNAcentral.
GGGGCUGACCGGUUUUGACAGCAAGAAAGUGGGGUUGUAAGCAUGCCGAGUGUGGUAAAUAUGACUCGUUAAUCUCAAGUUACACAGCCAAUAAACGGCGAAAACAAUUCUUACGCUUUAGCAGCUUAAUCUAGGAUUAGGUAGCUAUUUGCUCCCCAAAAAGCUUUGACUAACGGCGUUUUGAACGGAGCAUCAUAAAUGUUGGUAUAGCUUUUGCAAGGCUCUGGUGCAAAGGCGAAAUAAAAGAGAUACGGUAUUUAUAGGUUGGUUUUUUACCGGUAACCUGCCCGACAAUCAAUAAAAAACUAAGCAUGUAGAAAGCAGUUUUGCUGCUUGUUUGGACCAGGGUUCGACUCCCUGCAGUUCCACAC